GUCUCCGUAGUUUAGUCGGUAGAACUCCCGACUAUGCGGUAGAACUCGGGUUUGAGCCCCGCUGAAGGCA
Non-coding RNA from Henosepilachna vigintioctopunctata, 70 nucleotides. Lineage: Eukaryota; Metazoa; Arthropoda; Insecta; Coleoptera; Coccinellidae. The record is from the annotation of a GenBank genome assembly.